UGACUGCUUACUUGAACUUUGCUGUUUCAGUCGCCCAUCCACAGUCUCAUUCUACAGAAUGCAACUGUUCAGGUAGAUAAUUUUUUCUUUUAUUUUGUUAGUGUUUUAUCCCAUCCUCUUACACUUAAUACUGCACCUUAAUUAAAAGACCUAAUGCUUCAAUUUGCUAAAUUAAAAUUGUUACCUGUCAGCCAGAAAAUGUUUUUUUAUCUCUCAAAUGACAAGUGCCAAUUUUUUUAAGUAUUUCAGUAGCACCUUUUCUGUCUCUUAAUAUUUUUGUGAUGAAGUACAACUUGGCAUUUGCAGCAGUAGAUUUUAGUGAAAAUUUUCUCUUGGACUAUAGAUUCCUGUGAUGCAUUAAUAGGAUGGGUGGUAAUAUGGGUUAAAUAGCAUUUAUUAGAAGUUAGUCUUUGUGCAAUUAGAUUGUCUUUGAUCUAUAUUUGAUUCUGGCUAUUAAACAUGGACUAGGAUAUAAAUGUCUAUUAAUCAGUGAUCUUUGAAAAUUUUGCCUUAUAAAACUCAUUAAGAAUAUGGCCAAAAUUAGUUUUACACUUAGAUUUGGAUUAUAGCAAUGUGAGGAAAAGGCAGCUGGAGCUUCUAAAAAAUUAUGCUGACGACAUUUUUUUUUUUUACUUUAUUGAUUUUUAAUUUAAAUUCUUUGAGCAUUAAUAAGAUUUAACAUGCUUUCACUUUCUUAAAGUGCUAAUUCAGUAUUUGAAAAUAUCUAGUCUCUCUUUGUACAUAGAAGUAUUGAAGAAGCAAUUUCUCCUGUGACAGAAAAAGACUUGAAGAACAGGGAUGUAGUCUGAGAUCAGCAGCUCAAGUCUUGGAAAACUGGUCCUGUCAUGUAGGAUCUGCACUGGAAGAGGAAGAGAUUUGCAGUCAGCAUAUGUGCAAUCAACAUAAGGUGAAAUUAUUCAGGUUUCUCCAGAUCUUUAUAAGAAUAGAUUGUUUUCUGCAAGCUAUGCCUCAAGUGUAAAACUCCAGAUUUUGUGAAGCUGUGCUGCAAUGACAAUGGAUGUUCCUUAAAGCUUUUGUGAGGACAUUCCUGCUAUGCCUGCACUGGCAGGUGACAUGUGCAUUAUUUUUCAAAGGCUGCUUCAGGUGAUGAAUCCUGCCAUUCCCUGUGGAGAUCUCGUUCCUCAGGGUG
This 1150-nucleotide long non-coding RNA is filed under the name Chloebia gouldiae (Gouldian finch). RNAcentral's name for it is "Erythrura gouldiae (Gouldian finch) lncRNA (ENSEGOG00005001531.1)". The record is from RNAcentral. Lineage: Eukaryota; Metazoa; Chordata; Aves; Passeriformes; Passeridae.